AACGAACGCUGGCGGCAGGCUUAACACAUGCAAGUCGAACGGAUGUAGCAAUACAUCAGUGGCAGACGGGUGAGUAACACGUGGGAACCUUCCUCGUUGUACGGGACAACUCAGGGAAACUUGAGCUAAUACCGUAUACGUCCGAGAGGAGAAAGAUUUAUCGCAAUGAGACGGGCCCGCGUCGGAUUAGCUAGUUGGUGGGGGUAACGGCCUACCAAGGCGACGAUCCGUAGCUGANCUGAGAGGAUGAUCAGCCACACUGGGACUGAGACACGGCCCAGACUCCUACGGGAGGCAGCAGUGGGGAAUCUUGGACAAUGGGCGCAAGCCUGAUCCAGCCAUGCCGCGUGAGUGAAGAAGGCCUUAGGGUUGUAAAGCUCUUUUGCCAGGGACGAUAAUGACGGUACCUGGAGAAUAAGCCCCGGCAAACUUCGUGCCAGCAGCCGCCGUAAU
This 453-nucleotide ribosomal RNA is filed under the name uncultured bacterium. RNAcentral describes it as "bacterial SSU rRNA". It matches the Rfam family "Bacterial small subunit ribosomal RNA", at positions 29 to 524 of the family's 1533-position model. The record is from RNAcentral.